UUACGGCCAUAUCACGUUGAAAAACCGGUUCCCGUACGAUCACCGAAGUUAAGCAACGUCGGACCGGGCUAGUACCUAGAUGGGUGCCCGCCUGGAAAUACUAGAUGCUGUAA
Non-coding RNA from Acanthosepion pharaonis, 113 nucleotides. The record is from the annotation of a GenBank genome assembly. NCBI's taxonomy places the organism in Eukaryota, Metazoa, Mollusca, Cephalopoda, Sepiida, Sepiidae.